Long non-coding RNA from Arachis duranensis, 1398 nucleotides. RefSeq lists it as uncharacterized. The record is from RefSeq and is a predicted model, not a curated record. The transcript is spliced from 5 exons. Lineage: Eukaryota; Viridiplantae; Streptophyta; Magnoliopsida; Fabales; Fabaceae.
AGUAAAAACCCUAAUUCCCAACCCAGUCGCCGCACUCAACCUGCUUCCCUUCCUCCUUUCAUUCACACAUGAACGGCAAUCAGACAGAGAGGAGGAGAGGGGUCCGAGAGAGCAGAGGAGAAGGUAGAGGGGCUACCGCCUCCCCGCCGCCGCCGUCGCAUGCACCGUCGCUCCGUGGAGCCGCGCCUUGCCGCUGGACCGCCUUUGAUCUACCACACGCAUUGUCACCGUAGAGAGAGGGAGCAACACGAUCGAAGAGAGGAGGAGGAAGGAGACCCGUGCGCCAUUGGAGCCCGCUUCGUCACCGCCGUUGAGGUCCUCACCAUCGCCGUUAUUGGAGGUCUGUGAACAAAGGGGAGACACGCGAGGAAGGAGGAGCCUUCGACAUCGCUGUUCUGUCUCAACCCGGCGUCGCCGUCGUGUCCUGGCGCCAUUAAUGGAGGACACCAUCGCUGAUGAGCCCAGCCGCCUCUGAUCUGGUCCGAGAGAGAGAACUCGUGAGGGAGCCACCGCGGGAAGGAAGUCACCGCCGCGUUUUGCUACUUGCGCCACCACCGUCCAUCCUCCCCGCUACCAGAUGCCAUCGCCGUUCGCGAAGAAGAGAGAGAGCUCGCGUUGCCUCCAGAUCAGCCGUCAAAUCCGCCAUUACCCGUGCCUCUGCUGCCGGAGAACGUCGCUGCCGCCACUAAAACUCACUGCCGCCACCGUCGCCGGAGUUCUGGUCGCCGCUAUCGCUCGAGGUGAUUGCCGGGGCUGCCGGCAAACCGGUUCAGCUACCGCCGCUGUUUCAUUUUCUUAGUUCGGUUCGAGUUCUGUAUGUUGAAUACCGCUUUUAAGUUGUUGUGGGUGCUGCGAAAGUGAUCUGGGGCUGAGUUGGUGGAUUGCUGUUGAAUUCGGUUAAGAGAAAAGGUUUCGUAAUGCAUUUUGGGUUACGGUUUCGACGAAUCGAGAAAAACCACUGGAUUACUGUUUUAUAUUGAGAUUAUGAGACGCUAUGCGCCCAGCAGGGGUUGAGGUUGGUGGCAACAGAUCCCGCUUGCAUCCCUUCGGAUCAUCAGAGCGUACAGGCGCAAAACCCUGGAUAGUGAUCCGAGCACUAUAUCUCGGGAGUUUCCACACCAUGAUUCCAAAGGGCAACGUCUCCAUAGAGAUGUGUCUGGUUGGCAGUUGAACCGACAAUGUGAUAUCACAGCCAAUAGGGCAGACAUUCAUCAUCUGCAUUUAUGUGACAUUAUUUGGGUUAUUCCCUUUCAGGAUAUGGAUGACGGAGCUUCAGAAGAGUUUGUUUAUUUUCUGUUUAUUCGGUAUCUUUGUAUUAUCUUAGUUAUUAUUUUUUUCUUGCCUUUAUCUUUAUUAAAUUUGUAAGAGGGAUAGGUAAUUACCAUAUGUAUGUUUGUA